CUCAAUCUGGUGUAGUGGUUUGAAUGUUGGACUACAACUCUGGAGACCAGGGUUCGAUUCCCAGCUUGGCCA
RNAcentral lists this transfer RNA (72 nucleotides) under Phrynosoma platyrhinos (Desert horned lizard). RNAcentral describes it as "tRNA-OTHER". The record is from RNAcentral. Lineage: Eukaryota; Metazoa; Chordata; Lepidosauria; Squamata; Phrynosomatidae.